Harmonia axyridis is the source of this 4192-nucleotide long non-coding RNA. RefSeq lists it as uncharacterized. The transcript is spliced from 3 exons. Lineage: Eukaryota; Metazoa; Arthropoda; Insecta; Coleoptera; Coccinellidae. The record is from RefSeq and is a predicted model, not a curated record.
AAUAAACAGAUCUUUUCUAGAUUAAAAUAAUAAAAUUAUGAACUCGUUUUUGCGACUGAUUUAUUCAAUCAAUAUAACUCAACUCUCUUUUAUUUUCACAAACUACUAUCUUUUAAAAAACUAAUCAACCAAGUUCUAUGUUGACAUACGAAUAUUCAAUGAUCCAAAACUUCAGGCUUCAAUAGAAUUUCCUCAUAUUAUGAUGUUAUAGGCAAUAUGGAAAUAACACAAGCUGUAAUAAGUAUUUAUAAUGGAUUCAAGGGGAAGCGAGUCCCUUAUCUGCCGAAUAGCAUAGAAGGACGAGCUUAAUUUACCACAUACAUGAUGUAUAUGAUCAGUCCAUCUCUAAUUUUCGUCAACAUAUAAACCUAGAAAUUUAACUGAGUUAUUGGACAUUAACUCAUUGCCCAGGCAAUUACUUGAAAUUGAUUCACCUAAGGCGUUCUUAAUUUCAAAAAUUAUCAAUUCAGUCUUAGGAAUAUUAAUAAUGAGAGUAUCAGCUUUACACCAUUACACAAAACCAUCAACCAAGAGCUCGCAGCGUCGUAUAAGUUGAGGAAAACUCCGAGCCGAGACCGCCACCGAAGUAUCAUCCAUAAAAAUGACAGGCCAUUCGAAAACGAAAUCAGGCAAAACAUGAAUGAAGAGUAUAAAAAGCAAAGGCCCCAACACGGACCCCUGAGUAACCCCCAAGUCGUUCGUGAACAUACGAGGGACUGAAUUACCGACUUCAACAGACGUAGUCCUGUCUGAAAUUAAACUUUGAAUCCAACUGAGAAAUAUCCCCCUAAAUCCGAUAUUAUGCAACUUGUUUACAAUAAACUGAGGACCAACGCAAUGAAAAGCCCUCGUAAGAUCAAAAAAUACACUCGAAACAAGAAGACCGUCAACCAGAGAACGAUAAAUAAAAUCAAAAAAGUGCAAGGCAGCCGUUUUCGUCGAUCUUCCAGGUCUAAACCCGUGUUGGCAGCUGGAAAUUUUAAGAGAAAACUCAUCAUACGGUUCAAUACUAUUCGUUCAAUGACCUCAGAGAAGACUCUUAGUAUGGAAAUUGGUCCAUAGUUGGGCAUAUUACAAGGAUCAUUUCUCUUAUAGAUCAGAAGUACUAGUGCAUGUUUCAAGAUAGUAGGAAACGUACCAGUUGUAACUGAAAAAUUAAUCAGAAAUGCAAUAUGUUCCGCUAUGUAAUCCGCUGUUUCCUUGGAAAUCCUGACUGAUACAAAAUCAGCACCACGGCUUUUUUUGUUCUUGAGCGAUUUGGCAACAUUUAAAAUUUCAACUUUAUCUACCGGAUGAAAGCAAAAGGUUUCAGUUCAAAUUGAACUUAGCGUACAACACUCCGACAGGUUAUUACUAUAAUUUUCGAGAAUGCAGGUUUUAGCAAUCGACGAAAAAUAAUUCGCAAAGGCAUCAGCAAGUGCAUCUGAAUCGGAACAUAAUGAACCGUUCAGACCCAAUUUGAUGUCAACAUCAUGCUUCGAUCUACCUGUCUCUUGAUUCACAAUUCCAAAUCGUUGUAUUUUUAUCAUCUGACAUAUUGAUGAGAUUUUUGUGGUAAUUUAACUUUGAAGUCUUAAGCAGCAAAUUAUAGUCAGUUUUAGCUUUCUGAUAUACUGUCAAAGCAUGUUGAGUGCUAGAAUUUCUCAAUAGCCAAUGUAGUUCUUUGAGUUUUUGACUAGCCACCUUAAUUUCGGGUGUCAGCCUCCUCAGAUUUGACCUUUUUACAACAUCUUGGUGUCUCAUUGAAAAACAAUUAUUUAUUCAGGACUGCCCAAUGUCAAUGAACGAAUUGAAGGAUUCAUUAAUGUCAGAUGCCAUGUAAACAUCAUCAAAAUUGGCGAGUGAAAUCUCCAUUACAAGAUUCUGUAGGGCUUCAGUUGUUAUGUUCCGAGUAAAAGUGUACCUUUGUGCUCUUGUAGGAAGGAGCUUUAACACUAGAUUGAAAAAAAAUCAAGGCAGAUUAUCAUGUGAUUGCUAAAGUGACCCUCGAACACAGUCGUCCGACAAUGAUUUGAAUCAGAAUAAAUUAGUAUAUAAUCUACCUUGGUAUUGGAUGUAUGACCUAACACAUUCGUAAAAAUACGAGUUGGCUGUGAAGAAGAUAUCUUCAUAUUGAAAGAAAGCAUCAGAUCAGUCAGAAGAUUACUAUCUCUACAGUUGCUCAAAAAAUCAAUAUUGAGAUCACCGCACAAAAUGAUAAAUUCACCGAGUUACUAUAGUAGUCAAGAAUAUACAACCUCUCAAGAAUGAUGUUCACACUUCCUGAAGGAGGUCUAUAGAGUAUAGACACUCAGAACACAAAUUUUCAAAUAAUCGAAAAUAACCCUUACCCCACAGAACUCGCAUUCCAUUUCCUGAGAAAAUCUGGAAAUAUCCAUGUUGUUACUGAAGUCCAGAUCUGGCAAAGAUAGCAAUACCACCAUGCUGUCGUAAUGAUCGACAGAAACUUGAUACCAGUUUGAAUCCAGGUAUUGCCAUUACGCUUAGAUUGACGUCUUUGCACCAAUGUUCAGCAAUACUGAUGAUAGAUGAAUUGCUAUCUGACACAAAAACACUCAAGUUGUUGAUUUUGUUUCAAAGUGAUUGAGCAUUUAGUUGUUAUUUCCGAAAGCUGAAUUCACAUUCUAUAUAUACUUCCAUGAACAUUUGUAUUGUUCAGAUUCAGCGAUGUUGACUGACUGUUUUGCGCUGAUAAAAAGAAAGAACGAUACAUCUAAUGAUUCUAAUGGGCCAAAUUGAUUCAUUCUUCACUUUACCGAAUUCAGUAUCGGGAAUUAAGACCUUGAAUAACUCUCAGGAUAUCUAGAUUUCAAAGCCUUACAUUUUACAUCUCUGAAGUUCUUCUCAAGAAAAGUCUUAAGAUCUUCAGCAGUAGUUUUUGGCUUCAAGUUAGUGACAUGUGAUGCCUUAUAUUUGACGAUUCUCUCUACUGUGGAAUCACCUGAAAAAUUUUUAACGACCAAUAAUAAUAAUAAUUUACUGAUUUAAUUAUUUACCGUGUUUACUUUUUAUUGUAAGGUGAAAUUGGAUUUCAGGGUUAUCACUGAAUAUAUUUAUUGCUUACGAUAGAACUGUCGUUUGAUAGGCAACGUUUCGGGCAGUACCCUGUUUCAAGCCUAUAAAAUAUAUAAAAACAUACUUAAUAAAACAUCACAAUGGAACUAAUAAACAAUCGAACACUUAUAUAAUAUAGUUAAAUUUCAUUUAUAUAAUAAUAAUAAUAACGUUUAUUCACUUGUAAAGGGAAAAAAAAACAUUUUUGUACCAUCAUAGAUUGAAUAAACUCAAACUAUCGAAAAGUGUUGAACACUUGUUUCGAGAUAAGUAAAAUAAGACAAAAAAAAAAAGAAACACACAAAUGAAAGGUAGGCAACAUUAAGCAAUUGUAUAUACAUCCAAAAUCAACAACAAUGGAAAAGUCCACACACACAAUGCAAAACUAUGACAUACAAUGCAUAAAAGAUCUAAAAAUCGCACACAAACAACAUCAACUCCGCAGUUCAACCAGUUCGGCAAACACUCCCCGACGCUGGGUCAUGAUGAAUUCCCUCAACCUGUUUCUGAAUCUCGAUAAUCCAGUGAUGUGCUGAAUCUCUAGAGGUAUAAAAUUGUAUAACCUUGGAGCAGUAUAAGAAAAUGAUCGCUGUCCAACACAUUUUUGCACCCUCGGUAGAAUGAAAAGCUUUCUUCCUCGGGUCUCAUAGGAAUGUACGGGCAACGAAGAACUCUUUUCGCCGCAACGGUAUUUCAUGGUGAUGCUGAAGUAGUACAACUGUCGAAUAUCAAAAACCUGUGCUUCCAAAAACAAACUAUCCGAUGGGUAUCUAGGACCUUUACCAAGAAUUGUCUUCAAAAACCGUUUGUGCAAGACUUCAAGUUUGAGGAUAUGAGUCUUCAAAGCAUUCCCCCAACAAACUAUACCAUAACGCAGAUGACUCUCGACCAGAGCAUGAUACAGGAUCUUCAACUGAUGAACAUCCACCAUCACACCCAGGUACUUCACUUUUUCUUCGGGCAGUAUUGUAUACUGUUCUCCUAUUGUGGUAAUAUUGAUAGAUCUAAAAGAUGGCGUCCCAGAUCUAUUACAGCUGAAUGGCAGCUGAUGGAAACCUGUCUCCACAAUGGUCCUGAGAUUCUCCCAAGUAUCUGCUUUAUAAAAAACUACAAUGUCGUACGCAAAUACCAGAACUUC